Molecule: ribosomal RNA, 599 nt
Filed under: bacterium MF_isolate_1
Lineage: Bacteria
Description: bacterial SSU rRNA
Rfam family: Bacterial small subunit ribosomal RNA
Source: RNAcentral
AUGAACCAUUGGGUGUAAGAUGGUUGAAGGAAGAACAAGUCUUAGUCAAUAAGGUGCCCCUCCACGAUACCUACCAGAAAGCCUCGCAUCACUCCGUGUCAGCAGCCGCGGUCAUACGUAGGUGGCAAGCGUUGUCCGUAAUUAUUGGCGUAAAGCUUGCGCAGUCGGAUUGUUAAGUCUGAUGUGAAACCCCCGAGCUCAACCGGGGAGGGUCAUUGGAAACUGGGAAACUUGAGUGCAGAAGAGNAAAGUGGAAUUCCAAGUGUAGCGAGUGAAAUGCGUAGCGAUUUGGAGGAACACCAGUGUCGAAGGCGACUUUCUGGUCUGUACCUGACACUGAGGCGCGAAAGCGUGGGGAGCAACCAGGAUUAGAUACCCUGGUAGUCCACACUGUAAACGAUGAGUGCUAAGUGUUCGAGGGUUUCCGCCCUUUAGUCUUGAAGCUAACGCAUUAAGCACUCCGCUUGGGGAGUUCGGUCGCAAGACUGAAACUCAAAGGAAUUGCCGGGGGCCCGCCCAAGUGGUGGAUUCAUGUGGUUUAAUUCGAACCAACGCGAAGAACCUUAUCAUGGUCUUGACAUCCUCNGACAACCCUAGAG